This is an RNA transcript of Homo sapiens (human), 2042 nucleotides long. It is a transcript of the gene named RNA binding motif protein Y-linked family 2 member F, pseudogene, with no coding region annotated. NCBI's taxonomy places the organism in Eukaryota, Metazoa, Chordata, Mammalia, Primates, Hominidae. The record is from RefSeq and is marked validated. The transcript has 4 exons.
GGGUAGCUCCAGCUGUCCCUCCCGCAGUUGGCCCUGUGGUGUUCCGAAGCCGGUUACGUACGGCCUGAGGGCCAGGCGAACCUCAGGCUCUUUGUCCUACUAAAAAGCGCAGCACAAUGGUAGAAGCAGAUCGUCCUGGCAAGCAUUUCAUUGGUGGCCUAAAUAGGGAAAACAAUGAAAAGAUGUUUAAAGCAGUAUUUGCGAAACAUGGUCCCAUAUCAGAAGUUCUUUUGAUAAAGGAUCGAACCAGCAAAUCCAGAGGCUUUGCAUUUACUACUUUUGAGAACACUGCAGAUGCUAAGAAUGCUGCCAAACAUAUGAUUGGAAAGCCUUUGGAUGGAAAAGCAAUAAAAGUAGAACAAGCCAAGAAACCAUCUUUUCAAAGUGGUGGUAGGCAGAGACCACCAGCUUCCUCAAGAAGCAGAAGCCCUUCAGGAUGUCUGAGAUCUGCAAGAGGAAGUAGUGGAGGAACAAGAGGAUGGCAUCCCUCACAUGAAGGACGCUUGGGUAAUGUUUUAAAAUGUAAAGAUGGAACCAUAGGACUGAAAGAAAAUAAGUUUGAAGAUAUCGAAAUUUCUCAAUUAUAUUUAUUUCCUUUAUGAACAGAAAAUUGACUUAUAAUAAGCAAACUUAUUUCUAAGUACUAAAGGUGUAUUACAAGAAUGAUUGAAGUAAUAUCUAAAAUUUGUUGUAAAAUUGUAAUAACGUUGGAUUGAAAUAACACAAAUUUCAAACUGAUUUGAUUUUAUGAAUGCCAAUUGCUGCUACUCAACAGGUUUUCUGCAGAACUCAUUUAUAUUCAUCAUACUUUAGAGUUUUCUACUUUGGGGCCCAGAACUUCAUAUCAGUUGUAUUAUCAAAGUAAGCAAUAUUUAAAACUUUCCAACAGGGAAAAGUAACUCAGUACUUAAGAUUGAUUUUGCAAUAUUUGUUUUCUUGUAUAUAUGUGUGCAAACAUCUAUGCAAAUGUAUUGCUUUGUAAUUUUGAUACAGAGAGUUUGUACAUUGGCCUGCCAUAAAGCAUUUUCAAUUUAAGAAAUGUAGAACUUUAACUUCUGCAAAGAGUCUGUGACUCUGAAAAGGUCUAAAAACCACUGCUUCACAUAUAUGUAUGUAUCUUUGUUUGCUGGAGGAUAAGACACUGAAAAUGAUAUUUAUAGUGAUUUACACAAUAGAAAUGAGGGGUCAAUUUUUACAUAAAAAAGAAAAACCACGUAUUUUUUAAAAAAGAAAAAACUAUUGGAUGGGCUGGGUUUAGUAACUCAUGCCUGACAUCUCAGCACUUCAGGAGUACGGAGCAGGUGGACCAUGAGGUCAGGACUUCCAGACCAGCCUGGUCAACAUGGUGAAACCCUGUCUCUCCUAAAAAUACAGAAAAUUAGCCUGGCAUGGUGGCAUGCACCUGUAAUCCCAACUACUCAGCUGAGGCAAGAAAAUCGCUGGAACCUGGGAAGUGGAAGCUGCAGUGAGCCGAGAUCAGGCCAUUGCACUCCAGCCUGGGCAAUAGGGCAAGAGUCCAUCUCAAUAAAUAAAUAAAUAAAUAAAUAAAUAAAUAAAUACCUAUCGGUUAACUUGUAUUAUCUAUUAACUAACCUUCAAUAAUCUAACAUUUAACUUGGAGUUUUAAUAACCAGAUGUGUAAUUAAUUGGAGAUUUUUUUAAGUGGAAAUUGCAGUGUUUGCUCCAUUUUAAGAUGCAUAGCUACAUGGUUAUUUUGUCUCCAUUGCUUUUGAGGGUGAAGUUCAACAACACUCCACCAUGUCUGAGAAUGUGUGUAUUCUAACCUGUAACACCACCUAUGUUAUGUAUGUAGAUAUAUUGCCGCAUAUCUACAUUUUUUGUAGAUAUAUAAAAAUCUUUAUAUAUUAUUUAAUAUGCAAUUCUUAAUGACUAUUAAAAUUUAGCAUAGUGUAAUCUGAAAAUUAGUGUUUCAUAAGGGAAUUGUAAGAAUUCUAUAUUAUGUUAACAAAUUUUAGAGAUAAUGUAUUUUCCUGAUGUGUCACUUUUUGAUAUCAUAAAUAUUUGAAUUUGUUUGAAUGGAA